GGCGCGAUGACAGAGUGGUCAUGUAGCGGACUGCAACUCCGUCAACGCCGGUUCGAUUCCGACUCGCGCCUCCA
This 74-nucleotide transfer RNA is filed under the name Oceanospirillaceae bacterium. Its description in RNAcentral is "tRNA-Cys". It matches the Rfam family "tRNA". From Rfam's summary of the family: Transfer RNA (tRNA) molecules are approximately 80 nucleotides in length. Their secondary structure includes four short double-helical elements and three loops (D, anti-codon, and T loops). The record is from RNAcentral. RNAcentral also lists the same sequence under 1 other name. Lineage: Bacteria; Pseudomonadati; Pseudomonadota; Gammaproteobacteria; Oceanospirillales; Oceanospirillaceae.